RNAcentral lists this unclassified non-coding RNA (242 nucleotides) under uncultured Calycellina. RNAcentral describes it as "partial contains 5.8S ribosomal RNA, internal transcribed spacer 2, and large subunit ribosomal RNA". The stretch from base 1 to 52 matches the Rfam family "5.8S ribosomal RNA", at positions 103 to 154 of the family's 154-position model. Lineage: Eukaryota; Fungi; Ascomycota; Leotiomycetes; Helotiales; Hyaloscyphaceae. The record is from RNAcentral.
AACGCACAUUGCGCCCCUUGGUAUUCCGAGGGGCAUGCCUGUUCGAGCGUCAUUACAACCCUCAAGCAAUGCUUGGUGUUGGGCCGCGCCGCUAACCCGGCGGGCCCUAAAACCAGUGGCGGUGCCGUCGGGCUCUGAGCGUAGUAAUUCUUCUCGCUAUAGAGCCCCGGCGGAUGCUAGCCAGCAACCCCCAAUUUUCUAUGGUUGACUUCGGAUCAGGUAGGGAUACCCGCUGAACUUAA